RNAcentral lists this ribosomal RNA (253 nucleotides) under uncultured bacterium. RNAcentral's name for it is "partial 16S ribosomal RNA". It matches the Rfam family "Bacterial small subunit ribosomal RNA", at positions 524 to 776 of the family's 1533-position model. The record is from RNAcentral.
CACGUAGGGCGCAAGCGUUGUCCGGAAUUAUUGGGCGUAAAGAGCUCGUAGGCGGUCUGUUGCGUCCGCUGUGAAAACUCAGGGCUUAACCCUGAGCUUGCAGUGGGUACGGGCAGACUAGAGUGCGGUAGGGGAGACUGGAAUUCCUGGUGUAGCGGUGAAAUGCGCAGAUAUCAGGAGGAACACCGGUGGCGAAGGCGGGUCUCUGGGCCGAUACUGACGCUGAGGAGCGAAAGCGUGGGGAGCGAACAGG